Molecule: long non-coding RNA, 849 nt
Organism: Myodes glareolus (Bank vole)
Lineage: Eukaryota; Metazoa; Chordata; Mammalia; Rodentia; Cricetidae
Source: RefSeq, a predicted model, not a curated record
UAAUGUCAACUAGCCACAAAGUAGAAUUUCUUGAGUAGGGAGUUUCAGCUGAAGAAUUGUCCUGAUUGUCUUCAUUGAUUUGGGGAGAUUCACCCAAGGAAGAUUCUUUACUGUUGGCUCACUUGGCCUCCCUCUUUCCUCUUGUGCUGAGGAUGCAUAUUCCCGUUUCCAUCAAGACUGAGGACCAGUAGCUCUCCAGGACUCUUGAAGUUUGGUGCUGCAUAUUGAGACUCCCGAGGCAUCUAGUCCUGUGGUCUAAGCGACGAGCAAGCUGUAGGCCUCUCCAAUAUGAGACAUUGUGGCUCUAAUAGCAUCUAUUGUGGGACUGCUCCGUCUGCCAAGUCAUCGAAUCCCACAGGCUGAGGUUCUCAGCCUCUCAGGAAGUUGCCAAUUGCUGGAGAUCGACCUCACUCUCACUGCUAAUUAUGCUCUUCUGGGGAGUGGAGGAAGGGCAGAUGGUCUCUGGAGUUCAAGGUGUCAAAAAAGAACAGGAGUACCGGGAUUGCAGAUGAUGGUUCUUCCUGCUCAAAUCUUGCUUUUCGAUGUGGGUUCUGGGGAUUAAAACUCAGGUCUUCACAUUUGAACAACAAACACUUUUACCAACUGAGUCAUCUCCCCAGUCUGAAUUUCUCAUAUAUACUUAAUGUGCUGCUUAUAUUUCUGUGGGUUGUCAGAUCAUGAGUUAUUCUGUUAUUGUUCUGGGUUAUUGGCCAUAUGACUGAAAACAAGGACCUCUGUAUGUAAUAAAGGCAUCAGCCCUUUGGACUAUGAAAACAUUUUCCCAAUUUUCAUUCAUUCUUAUGUUUUAUUCAUAUUUAAUUUACCGUGCCAAAGUAGUUAAAUUGGUCA